This 216-nucleotide ribosomal RNA is filed under the name Campeiostachys nutans. Its description in RNAcentral is "Elymus nutans partial small subunit ribosomal RNA". The stretch from base 40 to 216 matches the Rfam family "Eukaryotic small subunit ribosomal RNA", at positions 686 to 864 of the family's 1831-position model. The record is from RNAcentral. Lineage: Eukaryota; Viridiplantae; Streptophyta; Magnoliopsida; Poales; Poaceae.
GGGUUAGUAGGUUGGUCAUGCCUCUGGUAUGUACUGGUCUCACUGAUUCCUCCUUCCUGAUGAACCUUAAUGCCAUUAAUUUGGUGUUUUGGGGAAUUUGGACUGUUACUUUGAAAAAAUUAGAGUGUUUAAAGCAAGCUAACGCUUGAAUACAUUAGCAUGGAAUAAUGAAAUAGGACGCGCGUUCCCAUUUUGUUGGUUUCUAGGAUUGACGUA